CCUACGGGGGGCAGCAGUGGGGGAUAUUGCACAAUGGAGGAAACUCUGAUGCAGCGACGCCGCGUGAGGGAAGACGGUCUUCGGAUUGUAAACCUCUGUCUAUGGGGAAGAAAAUGACGGUACCCAAAGAGGAAGCUCCGGCUAACUACGUGCCAGCAGCCGCGGUAAUACGGAGGGAGCGGUCGUUGUCCGGAAUUACUGGGUAUAAAGGGAGCGUAGGCGGGCGAGAAAGUUGAAUGUUAAAUCUACCGGCUAAACUGGUAGGUGCGUUUGAAACCUCUUGUCUUGAGUGAAGUAGAGGCAGGCGGAAUUCCUGGUGUAGCGGUGAAAUGCGUAGAUAUUAGGAGGAACACCAGUGGCGAAGGCGGCCUGCUGGGCUUUAACUGACGCUGAGGCUCGAAAGCGUGGGGAGCAAACAGGAUUAGAUACCCUUGUAGUC
RNAcentral lists this ribosomal RNA (439 nucleotides) under uncultured bacterium. RNAcentral's name for it is "partial 16S ribosomal RNA". It matches the Rfam family "Bacterial small subunit ribosomal RNA", at positions 338 to 795 of the family's 1533-position model. The record is from RNAcentral.